UACGUAGGGUGCAAGCGUUGUCCGGAAUUAUUGGGCGUAAAGAGCGUGUAGGCGGCCUCGUAAGUCCGCUGUGAAAGUCCAGGGCUCAACCCUGGAAAGCCGGUGGAUACUGCGAGGCUAGAGUCCGGAAGGGGCGAGUGGAAUUCCUGGUGUAGCGGUGAAAUGCGCAGAUAUCAGGAGGAACACCGGUGGCGAAGGCGGGUCUCUGGGCAACAACUGACGCUGAGGAGCGAAAGCGUGGGGAGCGAACAGG
This 253-nucleotide ribosomal RNA is filed under the name uncultured bacterium. Its description in RNAcentral is "partial 16S ribosomal RNA". It matches the Rfam family "Bacterial small subunit ribosomal RNA", at positions 524 to 776 of the family's 1533-position model. The record is from RNAcentral.